AACGAACGCUGGCGGCAUGCCUAACACAUGCAAGUCGAACGAGACCUUCGGGUCUAGUGGCGCACGGGUGCGUAACGCGUGGGAACCUGCCCUUAGGUUCGGAAUAACUCCCCGAAAGGGGUGCUAAUACCGGAUAAUGUCUUCGGACCAAGGAUUUAUCGCCUUUGGAUGGGCCCGCGUUGGAUUAGCUAGUUGGUAGGGUAAAAGCCUACCAAGGCGACGAUCCAUAGCUGGUCUGAGAGGAUGAUCAGCCACACUGGGACUGAGACACGGCCCAGACUCCUACGGGAGGCAGCAGUGGGGAAUAUUGGACAAUGGGCGAAAGCCUGAUCCAGCAAUGCCGCGUGAGUGAUGAAGGCCUUAGGGUUGUAAAGCUCUUUUACCCGGGAUGAUAAGGACAGUACCGGGAGAUUAAGCUCCGGCUAACUCCGU
This 432-nucleotide ribosomal RNA is filed under the name uncultured bacterium. Its description in RNAcentral is "partial 16S ribosomal RNA". It matches the Rfam family "Bacterial small subunit ribosomal RNA", at positions 29 to 506 of the family's 1533-position model. The record is from RNAcentral.